This 828-nucleotide ribosomal RNA is filed under the name Bacillus velezensis. RNAcentral's name for it is "bacterial SSU rRNA". It matches the Rfam family "Bacterial small subunit ribosomal RNA", at positions 56 to 866 of the family's 1533-position model. Lineage: Bacteria; Bacillati; Bacillota; Bacilli; Caryophanales; Bacillaceae. The record is from RNAcentral.
UGCAGUCGAGCGGACAGAUGGGAGCUUGCUCCCUGAUGUUAGCGGCGGACGGGUGAGUAACACGUGGGUAACCUGCCUGUAAGACUGGGAUAACUCCGGGAAACCGGGGCUAAUACCGGAUGCUUGUUUGAACCGCAUGGUUCAGACAUAAAAGGUGGCUUCGGCUACCACUUACAGAUGGACCCGCGGCGCAUUAGCUAGUUGGUGAGGUAACGGCUCACCAAGGCAACGAUGCGUAGCCGACCUGAGAGGGUGAUCGGCCACACUGGGACUGAGACACGGCCCAGACUCCUACGGGAGGCAGCAGUAGGGAAUCUUCCGCAAUGGACGAAAGUCUGACGGAGCAACGCCGCGUGAGUGAUGAAGGUUUUCGGAUCGUAAAGCUCUGUUGUUAGGGAAGAACAAGUGCCGUUCAAAUAGGGCGGCACCUUGACGGUACCUAACCAGAAAGCCACGGCUAACUACGUGCCAGCAGCCGCGGUAAUACGUAGGUGGCAAGCGUUGUCCGGAAUUAUUGGGCGUAAAGGGCUCGCAGGCGGUUUCUUAAGUCUGAUGUGAAAGCCCCCGGCUCAACCGGGGAGGGUCAUUGGAAACUGGGGAACUUGAGUGCAGAAGAGGAGAGUGGAAUUCCACGUGUAGCGGUGAAAUGCGUAGAGAUGUGGAGGAACACCAGUGGCGAAGGCGACUCUCUGGUCUGUAACUGACGCUGAGGAGCGAAAGCGUGGGGAGCGAACAGGAUUAGAUACCCUGGUAGUCCACGCCGUAAACGAUGAGUGCUAAGUGUUAGGGGGUUUCCGCCCCUUAGUGCUGCAGCUAACGCAUUAAGCA